Molecule: ribosomal RNA, 929 nt
Filed under: uncultured bacterium
Lineage: Bacteria
Description: bacterial SSU rRNA
Rfam family: Bacterial small subunit ribosomal RNA
Source: RNAcentral
UUAUUUUCAGGAAGCUUUCGGGUGGAAUGAACUUAACUUAGCGGCGGACGGGUGAGUAACGCGUGGACAACCUACCCUGUACAGGGGGAUAACAAUGGGAAACCAUUGCUAAUACCCCAUAACACCUUUUAGGGGCAUCCCUUUAAGGUCAAAGAAUUUCGGUACAGGAUGGGUCCGCGUCUGAUUAGCUAGUUGGUGAGGUAAUGGCUCACCAAGGCGACGAUCAGUAGCCGGCCUGAGAGGGUGAACGGCCACACUGGAACUGAGACACGGUCCAGACUCCUACGGGAGGCAGCAGUGGGGAAUUCUACAUUGUGGGCGAAAGCCUGAUGCAGCAACGCCGCGUGAGCGAUGAAGGCUUUCGGGUCGUAAAGCUCUGUCCUAAGGGAAGAUAAUGACGGUACCUUAGGAGGAAGCCCCGGCUAACUACGUGCCAGCAGCCGCGGUAAUACGUAGGGGGCAAGCGUUAUCCGGAAUCAUUGGGCGUAAAGGGUGCGUAGGCGGCCCUAUAGGUCAGAGGUCAAAGGCUACGGCUCAACCGUAGUAAGCCUUUGAAACUGUAGGGCUUGAGUGCAGGAGAGGAGAGUGGAAUUCCUAGUGUAGCGGUGAAAUGCGUAGAUAUUAGGAGGAACACCAGUGACGAAGGCGACUCUCUGGACUGCAACUGACGCUGAGGCACGAAAGCGUGGGGGAGCGAACAGGAUUAGAUACCCUGGUAGUCCACGCCGUAAACGAUGAGUGCUAGGUGUCGGGGGUCGAACCUCGGUGCCGCAGCUAACGCAUUAAGCACUCCGCCUGGGGAGUACGUUCGCAAGAAUGAAACUCAAAGGAAUUGACGGGGACCCGCACAAGCAGCGGAGCAUGUGGUUUAAUUCGAAGCAACGCGAGAACCUUACCUGGACUUGACAUCCCUCGGACCGCUUUUUAAC